Molecule: long non-coding RNA, 1238 nt
Filed under: Androctonus crassicauda
Lineage: Eukaryota; Metazoa; Arthropoda; Arachnida; Scorpiones; Buthidae
Source: RNAcentral
ACAGCAUUGUAUUUAAAUUUUCUCACUUCUCAGUAUUGCUAUAUUAAUUUCUUAAUAACCAUGAAAUAGCAAAUUUUCUUUCUUUUAUAGCAACCGUCAGACGUUACAUUUUAGUGUUACCCGUAUACUUAAGGACCAACUAAAUUUAAAAAUAUAUAUAUAAUAAUAAUAAUGACCGGACAUGUACCAAGCACGUGUCCUGCUGAUGAUUAGAGCGAUAGAACUGGAACCUACUGGUUUUAGAUAAUGCUGACAAACUACGUAUAAAAUGUUUUGAACGAUUUAAAAUCACGAAAUUAAAAAUAUCAUUCGAGCAUUCAAGCGUUAACAUUUUUAUUCAGUAACUCGCAUAAAUUUCACUCCUUUUUGGAAAGAGAGAAAUUUACCAAACACCAUAAUCAUCGGGUUUUAUCACUUACUCAUAUGUGGCAUAACUAAUAGGGCAAUAUCUCUUCCUAGAACUAAAGGUCAUAAUUCAAAAUCACCACAGAACAAAACAUGUUUUCUAUAGUAACCAUCCCCUUACAUUUAAGUAGAAAUAAUUUCGUCUGCGUCUGGCAGGUGAACGAACAUCACUUCUUGGAACCUUUUUUUUUAUUAUUGUUAUUAAUGAAUUCUAAAAUUAGAAAGUGGUAAAGAAAGGAUUCUUCUGCUAAAUCAAGUUUUGGUAUCUGUAUCAACCUCCGCCUUUUUCUGUCUUGAGUGUACUGACUCCUAUAUGUUACAAGGAUACUCGUCAAUGAUGAAUUAAACGGUGCUCGCCUUCUUUAAACAUUUCGAAGGGGGAAGAAAAUUUCUGCACAUGAAAAUCUAAAAAGUCGACCUAUAUUUUGUUUUGGUAACGUUUAUUUACUGUCGAAAACACGUGAUAAAAAUGAUAUUUCUGCAUAGACUUUUGCGACUGCGUCGAAACACCUACACUUCUUAUAAGCUUCAACCCAAACUACGUAUUUUAUCAUUCGAGACAAGUGAUCGUGCUGCUUUGAAAUACACAUUCGUCAGUCCAAAUCUGAUCCGAUUUUAUUAUUGCCAUCUACUGUCUGCCACCAUCAGAGUGGACUUGAUAAUCAAAACCUGCAACAACCUUUACCACUGUCUCCUAGUUGGCACCAACAGGUAUCACACAGUUGGGAUCAAGAAUUCUAUCAUAGUUUAGAAGAUUUGAACAGACAGACUAACCUCGACACAAAUAUGCUCACCAUUGAAGGCUUGAGGAGUCACUUUAAUUCUUGUUUCAG